RNAcentral lists this ribosomal RNA (582 nucleotides) under Lunella jungi. RNAcentral's name for it is "partial 16S ribosomal RNA". It matches the Rfam family "Bacterial large subunit ribosomal RNA", at positions 1816 to 2597 of the family's 2925-position model. Lineage: Eukaryota; Metazoa; Mollusca; Gastropoda; Trochida; Turbinidae. The record is from RNAcentral.
CGCUCCUUGAAGAUUUUAUUAUAUUGAAAUCCUUACAUAAGGAGUCGAACCUGCCCGGUGACAAAAUGUUAAACGGCCGCGGUACUCUGACCGUGCAAAGGUAGCAUAAUCAUUUGCCUUUUAAUUGGAGGCUUGUAUGAAUGGUUUGACGAAAAUCAAGCUGUCUCUUUUUAAAUAUCAAGAAAUUAUUAUUUAGGUGAAGAAACCUAAAUUUAAUUGAGGGACAAGAAGACCCCGUUGAGCUUAAGUAACUAAGCAAAUCUACGAUACUAAGUUUAAUAUAAAUUAAACACAUUUUCCUAUAUUGCAUUACUUGUAAACACAAUUUGCUACAAAUCUUUAGUUGGGGCGACUAAGGAACAAACAAAGCUUCCUUUCCACUUAUACAUACCUGUUGAGCAAAUUUGAACAAGCAUAGAUCCAGUACUUACUGAUCAAAGGAAAAAGUUACCACGGGGAUAACAGCGUAAUCUUCCCAAAGAGCCCUUAUCGAAGGGAGGGUUUGCGACCUCGAUGUUGGACUAAGAUACCCCGAAGGUGCAGAAGCUUUCAAUGGUUAGUCUGUUCGACUAUUAAAAUCUU